AACGAACGCUGGCGGCAGGCCUAACACAUGCAAGUCGAGCGAAGCCUUCGGGCUUAGCGGCGGACGGGUGAGUAACGCGUGGGAACGUGCCCUUUGGUACGGAAUAGCCCCGGGAAACUGGGAGUAAUACCGUAUGUGGUCGAGAGACGAAAGAUUUAUCGCCAAAGGAUCGGCCCGCGUUGGAUUAGGUAGUUGGUGGGGUAAUGGCCUACCUAGCCGACGAUCCAUAGCUGGUUUGAGAGGAUGAUCAGCCACACUGGGACUGAGACACGGCCCAGACUCCUACGGGAGGCAGCAGUGGGGAAUCAUAGACAAUGGGGGAAACCCUGAUCUAGCCAUGCCGCGUGAUCGAUGAAGGCCUUAGGGUUGUAAAGAUCUUUCAGUGGGGAAGAUAAUGACUGUACCCACAGAAGAAGCCCCGGCUAACUCCGUGCCAGCCGCCGCGGUAA
Molecule: ribosomal RNA, 449 nt
Filed under: uncultured bacterium
Lineage: Bacteria
Description: partial 16S ribosomal RNA
Rfam family: Bacterial small subunit ribosomal RNA
Source: RNAcentral